Long non-coding RNA from Neopsephotus bourkii (Bourke's parrot), 1248 nucleotides. RefSeq lists it as uncharacterized. The record is from RefSeq and is a predicted model, not a curated record. The transcript has 2 exons. Lineage: Eukaryota; Metazoa; Chordata; Aves; Psittaciformes; Psittacidae.
GCUGCUAUUUGCUGUCAUGUACCCUACUAUCUACAAAAUUUUGUAUGUUUUCUGAAACUUGCUGGCAUUUGGUGUCUUUCUGUAGGUUUCCAAAAGUAUCUUCAAAUUCCUUUUUAAGGCUAUGAUAACUACUCUGAUCUCGUUAACCUUCCUGUUUCAGGAAGCUAACAGAAAACUACACGCAACGCAGCAGAUUUUUCACAUUGGAAUUAGUCAUUGCCUCCAUUUCAAAAUCCUCAGGCUUCCGUAAGGUGUGCCCUCCUGCAAAGUGCUACCAGUAAAUGAGCCAACGUGAAGCAUUACCAGGAUGACGGACUACUUUGGUUUUGUUUGGUUUGGUUUUCUGGGGAUUUUUGUCCCCUGCCAGUCCAUGUUUUUACUGAAAUUAAAAUAUCAAAACAACACUCAGCUAUAUUCAGGACACAAUGCAAACUCCACGGUAAUUUAGCCCUGUUAACCUGGCACUGAUCUAAGCCCUUUACCACAGUCUCACAGUAAGCAAAAAUACAUUGCUAACACGGUGGAGGAACUGGAUGAGAGGUAGAGAAUCUAUAUAGACUCCUGUGACCUGACUGAGAUGUCAACUUUGAUCCCAAAAUGUGUGAUCUAAUCUGCUAAGGAUUUGUGGAUCUUGCUAGGUAGCUGGUAGGGGUCUGUGACUUCAAUGAGUAUUUCAAUAUGUUUACAUUUAGCAGGUCUGUUCUUACUCAGCAAUGCAGGCUGACAUUGCUCAACUUCUACCCACUCUUGUUUUGUCUCCAGUCUUAUAUCAUGUGUUCCUCAGCACAGAGGCACUCAUUGCUGAGUGUCUGCAAAACUCCUAUUAGGCAUUUGCUAUUUGUCAGCAGGUUUUACACUGCUUUCUGUAACAGCAGUAAUUAAAGCCCAGGUCUUCAAAGAACCUUUGAUUGCUGUGGCAGAAGGAGUGCUUGGAAAUACCUUCCCAUCAAGGUGGUGUCGUUCAUCCCUGCUACAGCCGGAUGGAAGGUUUCCUGGUGUACAGCUGCCCCGGCCUCCACAGCCUGCCUGCCCUCCUUCCACAGGCAAAGGCCUGUCCUAUGCAAUCCCAUGUGGGGAUCAUUACCAUCCCAGAGGAGCCACGCUGCUUGGUGGUUCAGCCCAGGGACAGCUGAGGGCCCCAGUCAAGCCCCAAGUUUGGGCUUGAGCCAGCCAUUGCAGUUCAUACUGAUUUCUAAGACAGAAGGAGGGGCUAAAUGAGUGGCUGAUCAACUGGGAAUCUGUAAAAUG